CCGGGGAGCCGGGCAGCCGCGUCCCUCUUUAUGGGGGCCGAGGAAAGUCCGGGCUCCACGAAACAAGGGUGGCGGGUAACGCCCGCCGACUCCGGACGUGUUCCGGGGUUAGGGAAAGUGCCACAGAGAGUAUACCGCCGAUGGCCCGCGCUCCUUCUGGAGAUUGGGGGCACAGGCAAGGGUGAAAGGGUGCGGUAAAAGCGCACCGGGGUUCUGGUAACAGCGCCCGCAUGGCAAACCCCACCCGGAGCAAGACCGCAUAGGGGUCUCGCGCCUUACGGGCAGGAGUGUUUCGCUCCCAUGAGACCCGGGUUGGUUGCUGGAGCAUUGGAGCAAUCCAAUGCCUAGAUGAAUGGCUGCCCCUGCCGAUACGGUCCCUUUUGGGAUACCGUCGGCAGGACAGAACCCGGCUUACAGGCUCCCCGGCACU
RNAcentral lists this RNase P RNA (430 nucleotides) under Erythrobacter sp. EC-HK427. RNAcentral's name for it is "Bacterial RNase P class A". It matches the Rfam family "Bacterial RNase P class A". Rfam says of the family: Ribonuclease P (RNase P) is a ubiquitous endoribonuclease, found in archaea, bacteria and eukarya as well as chloroplasts and mitochondria. Lineage: Bacteria; Pseudomonadati; Pseudomonadota; Alphaproteobacteria; Sphingomonadales; Erythrobacteraceae. The record is from Rfam by way of RNAcentral.